Molecule: ribosomal RNA, 369 nt
Filed under: uncultured eukaryote
Lineage: Eukaryota
Description: partial 18S ribosomal RNA
Rfam family: Eukaryotic small subunit ribosomal RNA
Source: RNAcentral
CCCUUAGAUGUUCUGGGCCGCACGCGCGCUACACUGAUGCAGGCAGCAAGUGGAUUCAAUGGCUCUUUCUUCUUUUGGAGGGGAGCGUUGCAGCCUUGGCCGAGAGGCCUGGGUAAUCUUGGGGAAACUGCAUCGUGCUGGGGCUUGACGAUUGAAAUUAUUUGUCACAAACGAGGAAUUCCUAGUAAGCGCAAGUCAUCAGCUUGCAUUGAUUACGUCCCUGCCCUUUGUACACACCGCCCGUCGCUCCUACCGAUUGAAUGCUCCGAUGAACGCUCCGGAGGCGAGGCCGUGGAGCUGGUUCGCCAGCCGCGGCCUAUGGCAAAGUUGUGUAAAUCUUAGCAUUUAGAGGAAGGACAAGUCGUAACA